RNAcentral lists this ribosomal RNA (253 nucleotides) under uncultured bacterium. RNAcentral describes it as "partial 16S ribosomal RNA". It matches the Rfam family "Bacterial small subunit ribosomal RNA", at positions 524 to 776 of the family's 1533-position model. The record is from RNAcentral.
UACGGGGGGGGCAAGCGUUGUUCGGAAUUACUGGGCGUAAAGGGCUCGUAGGCGGCCAACUAAGUUAUACGUGAAAUCCCUCAGCUUAACUGGGGAACUGCGUGUGAUACUGGAUGGCUUGGAUUUGGGAGAGGGAUGCGGAAUUCCAGGUGUAGCGGUGAAAUGCGUAGAUAUCUGGAGGAACACCGGUGGCGAAGGCGGCAUCCUGGACCAAUAUUGACGCUGAGGAGCGAAAGCCAGGGGAGCAAACGGG